This 321-nucleotide ribosomal RNA is filed under the name uncultured eukaryote. RNAcentral describes it as "partial 18S ribosomal RNA". It matches the Rfam family "Eukaryotic small subunit ribosomal RNA", at positions 1470 to 1796 of the family's 1831-position model. The record is from RNAcentral.
CCCUUAGAUGUUCUGGGCCGCACGCGCGCUACACUGACGCAUUCAACGAGUCUCCUUGGCCGAGAGGCCUGGGUAAUCUUGUGAACGUGCGUCGUGAUAGGGAUAGAUUAUUGCAAUUAUUAAUCUUGAACGAGGAAUUCCUAGUAAACGCAGAUCAUCAAUCUGCAUUGAUUACGUCCCUGCCCUUUGUACACACCGCCCGUCGCACCUACCGAUUGGAUGGUCCGGUGAAGCCUCGGGAUUGUGGCCGGUGCAUUCAUUUGUGUCGGCUGCGAGAACUUGUCUAAACCUUAUCAUCUAGAGGAAGGUGAAGUCGUAACA